AACGAACGCUGGCGGCAGGCUUAACACAUGCAAGUCGAACGCCCCGCAAGGGGAGUGGCAGACGGGUGAGUAACGCGUGGGAAUCUACCCAGAUCUUCGGAACAACUGAGGGAAACUUCAGCUAAUACCGGAUACGCCCUACGGGGGAAAGGAUUUAUCGGAUCUGGAUGAGCCCGCGUUGGAUUAGCUAGUUGGUGGGGUAAUGGCCUACCAAGGCGACGAUCCAUAGCUGGUCUGAGAGGAUGAUCAGCCACACUGGGACUGAGACACGGCCCAGACUCCUACGGGAGGCAGCAGUGGGGAAUAUUGGACAAUGGGCGCAAGCCUGAUCCAGCCAUGCCGCGUGAGUGAUGAAGGCCUUAGGGUUGUAAACUCUUUCAGUGGGGAAGAUAAUGACGGUACCCACAGAAGAAGCCCCCGGCUAACUUCGU
This 431-nucleotide ribosomal RNA is filed under the name uncultured bacterium. RNAcentral describes it as "bacterial SSU rRNA". It matches the Rfam family "Bacterial small subunit ribosomal RNA", at positions 29 to 506 of the family's 1533-position model. The record is from RNAcentral.